GUUCUGUCGAGUUGAUGGGGUCUUCAUUGGUGGAGGUCAGCGGAGGUACCCCGCACCCUCGAUCUCCAUGAGGAUUUGAGCUUGAAGGCAAUCAAUGGGGUAUAGCUAUUAUAGCGUCAAGGCGACUCCUCAAAUGUGGAGCUUUCGUUUUUCGGGAGGUUUUGCUUCAACCUCAUUCGAGCGUGUGUCCUCCCCUGCACACUUCUUGGAAGCCCGAUCUUCCUAACGGGCGAUCUGACCCUAUUCGACCUGCAUGUAAUUGCAAGCCCGGGCUAGAAGAUCGGUAUAAUCCCUCGAAUACAUCUUAUCGAGGGAGUAGAUGAGGCACUCGUUGCAGAAGCCUCACUUCAAAACCGACAUGACGACAGCUUCAUCCAGGUUGAGCACUUCCAACGGGGCCACAUUAAAUCGCGCCACAUAAUCGCAUAGAGACUCUCCCUCUUCCUAGUAGAGGGAGAAGAGGCUAUCCGAGAUCCUCAGUUGGACUCGAAAAUUCUCGAAGUAUCAAGUUCAUGCCUUCUUCAGAGUCGUAAGGAAGACGAGGCAGAGAAGGACGUUCGAAUACUUCUACUUGUUCUGUCGAGUUGAUGGGGUCUUCAUUGGUGGAGGUCAGCGGAGGUACCCCGCACCCUCGAUCUCCAUGAGGAUUUGAGCUUGAAGGCAAUCAACGGGGUAUAGCUAUUAUAGCGUUAAGGUGGACUCCUCAAAUGUGGAGCUUUCGUUGGUCGGGAGGUUCUGCUUCAACCUCAUUCAGGCGUGUGUCCUCCCCUGCACACUUCUUGGAAGCCCGAUCUUCCUGACGCGCAAUCUGACCCUAUUCGACCUGC
This 827-nucleotide long non-coding RNA is filed under the name Elaeis guineensis (African oil palm). RNAcentral describes it as "long non-coding RNA (EGUI_LNC020163)". Lineage: Eukaryota; Viridiplantae; Streptophyta; Magnoliopsida; Arecales; Arecaceae. The record is from RNAcentral.